Molecule: ribosomal RNA, 1235 nt
Filed under: Strongyloides myopotami
Lineage: Eukaryota; Metazoa; Nematoda; Chromadorea; Rhabditida; Strongyloididae
Description: SSU rRNA
Rfam family: Eukaryotic small subunit ribosomal RNA
Source: RNAcentral
GUUGGAUAACUGAGGUAAUUCUUGAGCUAAUACACGCUUUUUAUACCACAUUAGUGGUGCGUUUAUUUGAUUAAACCGAUUUUCUGGUUGACUCAAAAUAUCCUCGCUGAUUUUGUUACUAAAACAUACCGUAUGUGUAUCUGGUUUAUCAACUUUCGAUGGUAGGGUAUUGGCCUACCAUGGUUGUGACGGAUAACGGAGAAUUAGGGUUCGACUCCGGAGAGGGAGCCUGAGAAACGGCUACCACAUCCAAGGAAGGCAGCAGGCGCGAAAAUUACCCAAUUUUAGUUAAAAGAGGUAGUGACGAAAAAUGACAACCAAAUAUUAUUAUUAAUAUUUGGAUUGAAAAUCUUCAAGUUUAAAUAACUUGUUGGUAAAGGAAAGGGCAAGUCUGGUGCCAGCAGCCGCGGUAAUACCAGCUUUCCAAGUGCAUAAAAUGAUUGUUGUGGUUAAAAAGCUCGUAGUUGGAUUAUAAAGAUUGUAUAAUGAGCAUCUUGGAUGUUUUUCAUUAUCAUCUUACUUUUUUAUUAUAUUAGUAAUAAUAUAAUAACUGUUACUUUGAAUAAAUCAGAGGGUUUAAACCAGGCAUUAUAUGCUUGUAUGGUCUAGCAUGGAAUAACACUAUAGGAAAAGUUAGUGUGGUUUCACUAAUCUUUUUCAUGAUUAAUAGGAACAAACGGGGGCAUUCGUAUCGCUACGUUAGAGGUGAAAUUCUUGGACCGUAGCGAGACGUCCUACUGCGAAAGCAUUUGCCAAGAAUGUUUUCAUUAAUCAAGAACGAAAGUUAGAGGUUCGAAGGCGAUCAGAUACCGCCCUAGUUCUAACCGUAAACUAUGCCUACUAGGUGUAUGAAUUAUUAGUUAUAAUAAUUUAUGGACCUUCUCGGAAACGAAAGUCUUUCGGUUCCGGGGGAAGUAUGGUUGCAAAGCUGAAACUUAAAGGAAUUGACGGAAGGGCACCACCAGGAGUGGAGCCUGCGGCUUAAUUUGACUCAACACGGGAAAACUCACCCGGGCCGGACACUAUAAGGAUUGACAGAUUGAUAGCUCUUUCAUGAUUUAGUGGUUGGUGGUGCAUGGCCGUUCUUAGUUCGUGGAUAUGAUUUGUCUGGUUGAUUCCGAUAACGAGCGAGACUUUUAUGUUAUAUUAAAUGUUAUUAUUUUUUAAUAAUAACUAUUUUAAUAACAGAUUAAUAGUGUUUAACUAUUUGAGAGAGAGCGAUAACAGGUCUGUGA